This 500-nucleotide ribosomal RNA is filed under the name uncultured bacterium. RNAcentral's name for it is "partial 16S ribosomal RNA". It matches the Rfam family "Bacterial small subunit ribosomal RNA", at positions 29 to 523 of the family's 1533-position model. The record is from RNAcentral.
AUUGAACGCUGGCGGCAUGCCUUACACAUGCAAGUCGAACGGCAGCGCGGACUUCGGUCUGGCGGCGAGUGGCGAACGGGUGAGUAAUACAUCGGAACGUACCCUGUUGUGGGGGAUAACUAGUCGAAAGAUUAGCUAAUACCGCAUACGACCUGAGGGUGAAAGUGGGGGACCGCGAGGCCUCACGCAGCAGGAGCGGCCGAUGUCUGAUUAGCUAGUUGGUGGGGUAAAGGCCCACCAAGGCGACGAUCAGUAGCUGGUCUGAGAGGACGAUCAGCCACACUGGGACUGGGACACGGCCCAGACUCCUACGGGAGGCAGCAGUGGGGAAUUUUGGACAAUGGGGGCAACCCUGAUCCAGCAAUGCCGCGUGUGUGAAGAAGGCCUUCGGGUUGUAAAGCACUUUUGUCCGGAAAGAAAUCGCGCUGGUUAAUACCUGGCGUGGAUGACGGUACCGGAAGAGUAAGCACCGGCUAACUACGUGCCAGCAGCCGCGGUAA